Molecule: ribosomal RNA, 654 nt
Filed under: Triticum aestivum (bread wheat)
Lineage: Eukaryota; Viridiplantae; Streptophyta; Magnoliopsida; Poales; Poaceae
Description: partial small subunit ribosomal RNA
Source: RNAcentral
AUGAUUGUGACUCUUUGGGCAAUCUGGGCUGCAAGGAGGAAGAUAAUCCAUGAAGGAAUCUACAAAACACCUUUCUCAACUCAUGUGUUCAUCACGAGUUAUAUCUCAUAUUUACAGCUUAUUCAAAAACCCGUGGUGACAGGGCCAACAACACGAGCUCCACGCCCAACUUCAGGGCUACCUCCUCCGGAAGACCACGAGAAGAUUAAUGUCGACACGGUAGUCUCACGCGCUGGCCGGUUUGGGGCGGUGGGAGCGAUUUGCCGGGAUAGCACAGGGGAUUUCAAGGGCGCAUCUGCAAUCAUUUUCAGGAACAUCGAAGAUCCAGAGGUUUUGAAGGUACUAGCCAUCAGAGAAGCACUAGCAUUGGCUGAUGACUUAUAUGAGCAGAGAAUUUUCGUUGCGUCUGACUGCAGGACUGCUGUUGAAGCAAUUAAAGGGGGAACAUCGGCGUCUUAUGGAGCGGUGGUGCAUUCAAUAACAGAACGAGCUAGGUUUUUUACUUCUUGCACUUUUAGUCAUGAAUUUCGGACCUCGAACUUCGAGGCACACAACCUCGCGAAGCAUGCAUUAACGCUGGGGACCGGCCGCCAUCUUUGGUUAGGCCACCCCGGUGAUCUUUUGUUCGUCCCUGUAAACAUUGUGACGGUUUAA